ACAUACGACCAUAGACUGAAGAGAAUAGGGCAUCCCGUCCGCUCUGCCAAACUCAAGCUUCAGAUCGGUAGAUUAGUAGUUGGGUGGGUGACCACCAGCGAAUACCUACUGUUGUAUGUU
Molecule: ribosomal RNA, 120 nt
Filed under: Glarea lozoyensis ATCC 20868
Lineage: Eukaryota; Fungi; Ascomycota; Leotiomycetes; Helotiales; Helotiaceae
Source: RNAcentral